CCCUGACCUAGGUGCUUCUCAAAAAAAAAAAAAAGGUGCUUCUCGAAACCUGCCGCCGCCGCAGACGGCUACUCCCCAUCCCCAAGGCUGCGCGGAAGGCUGUGGUUGCUCCGGCUGGCUGGUGAUGGAGGACGCUAGCUUGAGUUCUUGUUGGACGCCGAUGACGGUAAGUUGCAGGUUUUCGCUGGGAGAAGAGUUUGCGGACAGCUAGGAAGAACCAGAUCCGGUCCCUCUGCGGUGCUCCCGCGGCUGAAUGCUGCCCCUGCUAUGCCGGCGGACUCGAAUAUUGGCUCCGGGUGCGGGCAGCAUGUUGGUGGCUCCGGAGGGCAACAAGCGCCGGCGACGGCAAGCUUCUCCGACGAUGUAGCAGGCCCCUGACAGGGUCAAUCCCGAGGCGCCGGGCUGGACCAAAAGGCCUUGUUGGUAUGUGGUGCACCAUUUGAAGAGAAGAUGGAUGUUGGGCUUUUAGGACAGCCAGACCACUUUGCCUGGCAGGAGGCUACCUGUCGAUGGAGAAGUUGCAUUUCUGGGAAAUGGCAGUGCAGAGCGUGAAGACAUCUAUCUAUCAGUGUGAAUGCACUUCAAGGGCCUGCUGCUCCGGAAGAGCAGACAGGUGUCGACAGGCCAACGAAUAGCCGGGAGAAAGCACCGUAUGAUAUUCUGCAGGCUGCAGCAUUUGUCAUCGCAAAGGCCACAAGAGAACAACCUACCCUGACAGGGAAUGCAAGAGCACCAUCGGUGGUGCUCAAAAUCAGAUGUGAUAGUUAAUUUUUCUAAUUCUGAAACUUGUACUCUGAAGAUUUUCUAGUGUGUUUCAGUGAGCAAUGCUCCCUUGUGUUCCUCCAGUUCAGGACGUCAGACUUACUAUACCAUUCAGUAAACUUUGUUGUCGUUCAUCAGUAUUUUCUUGGGUUCCCCUUGGGCCGUCAGUGUUUGUAAGCUAUGCUACGCAUGUACUAAGUACUUGCGAGCUUUUGCGUUUGAGGCACUCUUGAUAUUAACCAUACCAUGUGGAUGUUCAUGGGUAGUGGAGUUGUA
Long non-coding RNA from Triticum dicoccoides, 1038 nucleotides. RefSeq lists it as uncharacterized. Lineage: Eukaryota; Viridiplantae; Streptophyta; Magnoliopsida; Poales; Poaceae. The transcript is spliced from 3 exons. The record is from RefSeq and is a predicted model, not a curated record.